This 2900-nucleotide ribosomal RNA is filed under the name Klebsiella pneumoniae. Its description in RNAcentral is "bacterial LSU rRNA". It matches the Rfam family "Bacterial large subunit ribosomal RNA". Lineage: Bacteria; Pseudomonadati; Pseudomonadota; Gammaproteobacteria; Enterobacterales; Enterobacteriaceae. The record is from RNAcentral.
UUAAGCGACUAAGCGUACACGGUGGAUGCCCUGGCAGUCAGAGGCGAUGAAGGACGUGCUAAUCUGCGAAAAGCGUCGGUAAGGUGAUAUGAACCGUUAUAACCGGCGAUGUCCGAAUGGGGAAACCCAGUGCAAUUCGUUGCACUAUCGUUAACUGAAUACAUAGGUUAACGAGGCGAACCGGGGGAACUGAAACAUCUAAGUACCCCGAGGAAAAGAAAUCAACCGAGAUUCCCCCAGUAGCGGCGAGCGAACGGGGAGCAGCCCAGAGUCUGAAUCAGCUUGUGUGUUAGUGGAACGGUCUGGAAAGUCCGACGGUACAGGGUGAUAGUCCCGUACACCAAAAUGCACAGGUUGUGAACUCGAAGAGUAGGGCGGGACACGUGGUAUCCUGUCUGAAUAUGGGGGGACCAUCCUCCAAGGCUAAAUACUCCUGACUGACCGAUAGUGAACCAGUACCGUGAGGGAAAGGCGAAAAGAACCCCGGCGAGGGGAGUGAAAAAGAACCUGAAACCGUGUACGUACAAGCAGUGGGAGCACCUUCGGGUGUGACUGCGUACCUUUUGUAUAAUGGGUCAGCGACUUAUAUUCUGUAGCAAGGUUAACCGUAUAGGGGAGCCGCAGGGAAACCGAGUCUUAACUGGGCGUUAAGUUGCAGGGUAUAGACCCGAAACCCGGUGAUCUAGCCAUGGGCAGGUUGAAGGUUGGGUAACACUAACUGGAGGACCGAACCGACUAAUGUUGAAAAAUUAGCGGAUGACUUGUGGCUGGGGGUGAAAGGCCAAUCAAACCGGGAGAUAGCUGGUUCUCCCCGAAAGCUAUUUAGGUAGCGCCUCGUGAACUCAUCUUCGGGGGUAGAGCACUGUUUCGGCUAGGGGGUCAUCCCGACUUACCAACCCGAUGCAAACUACGAAUACCGAAGAAUGUUAUCACGGGAGACACACGGCGGGUGCUAACGUCCGUCGUGAAGAGGGAAACAACCCAGACCGCCAGCUAAGGUCCCAAAGUCAUGGUUAAGUGGGAAACGAUGUGGGAAGGCACAGACAGCCAGGAUGUUGGCUUAGAAGCAGCCAUCAUUUAAAGAAAGCGUAAUAGCUCACUGGUCGAGUCGGCCUGCGCGGAAGAUGUAACGGGGCUAAACCAUGCACCGAAGCUGCGGCAGCGACACUAUGUGUUGUUGGGUAGGGGAGCGUUCUGUAAGCCUGCGAAGGUGUGCUGUGAGGCAUGCUGGAGGUAUCAGAAGUGCGAAUGCUGACAUAAGUAACGAUAAAGCGGGUGAAAAGCCCGCUCGCCGGAAGACCAAGGGUUCCUGUCCAACGUUAAUCGGGGCAGGGUGAGUCGACCCCUAAGGCGAGGCCGAAAGGCGUAGUCGAUGGGAAACAGGUUAAUAUUCCUGUACUUGGUGUUACUGCGAAGGGGGGACGGAGAAGGCUAUGUUAGCCGGGCGACGGUUGUCCCGGUUUAAGCAUGUAGGCUGAUUGUCCAGGCAAAUCCGGAUAAUCAAGGCUGAGGUGUGAUGACGAGGCACUACGGUGCUGAAGUAACAAAUGCCCUGCUUCCAGGAAAAGCCUCUAAGCAUCAGGUAACAUUAAAUCGUACCCCAAACCGACACAGGUGGUCAGGUAGAGAAUACCAAGGCGCUUGAGAGAACUCGGGUGAAGGAACUAGGCAAAAUGGUGCCGUAACUUCGGGAGAAGGCACGCUGGUGUGUAGGUGAAGUCCCUGCGGAUGGAGCUGAGACCAGUCGAAGAUACCAGCUGGCUGCAACUGUUUAUUAAAAACACAGCACUGUGCAAACACGAAAGUGGACGUAUACGGUGUGACGCCUGCCCGGUGCCGGAAGGUUAAUUGAUGGGGUUAUCCGUAAGGAGAAGCUCUUGAUCGAAGCCCCGGUAAACGGCGGCCGUAACUAUAACGGUCCUAAGGUAGCGAAAUUCCUUGUCGGGUAAGUUCCGACCUGCACGAAUGGCGUAAUGAUGGCCAGGCUGUCUCCACCCGAGACUCAGUGAAAUUGAACUCGCUGUGAAGAUGCAGUGUACCCGCGGCAAGACGGAAAGACCCCGUGAACCUUUACUAUAGCUUGACACUGAACAUUGAGCCUUGAUGUGUAGGAUAGGUGGGAGGCUUUGAAGCGUGGACGCCAGUCUGCGUGGAGCCAACCUUGAAAUACCACCCUUUAAUGUUUGAUGUUCUAACGUUGGCCCCUUACCGGGGUUGCGGACAGUGUCUGGUGGGUAGUUUGACUGGGGCGGUCUCCUCCCAAAGCGUAACGGAGGAGCACGAAGGUUAGCUAAUCCUGGUCGGACAUCAGGAGGUUAGUGCAAUGGCAUAAGCUAGCUUGACUGCGAGCGUGACGGCGCGAGCAGGUGCGAAAGCAGGUCAUAGUGAUCCGGUGGUUCUGAAUGGAAGGGCCAUCGCUCAACGGAUAAAAGGUACUCCGGGGAUAACAGGCUGAUACCGCCCAAGAGUUCAUAUCGACGGCGGUGUUUGGCACCUCGAUGUCGGCUCAUCACAUCCUGGGGCUGAAGUAGGUCCCAAGGGUAUGGCUGUUCGCCAUUUAAAGUGGUACGCGAGCUGGGUUUAGAACGUCGUGAGACAGUUCGGUCCCUAUCUGCCGUGGGCGCUGGAGAAUUGAGGGGGGCUGCUCCUAGUACGAGAGGACCGGAGUGGACGCAUCACUGGUGUUCGGGUUGUCAUGCCAAUGGCACUGCCCGGUAGCUAAAUGCGGAAGAGAUAAGUGCUGAAAGCAUCUAAGCACGAAACUUGCCCCGAGAUGAGUUCUCCCUGAGACUUUAAGUCUCCUGAAGGAACGUUAAAGACGAUGACGUUGAUAGGCCGGGUGUGUAAGCGCAGCGAUGCGUUGAGCUAACCGGUACUAAUGAACCGUGAGGCUUAACCUU